CCUACGGGAGGCAGCAGUGAGGAAUAUUGGUCAAUGGACGAGACUCUGAACCAGCCAAGCAGCGUGAAGGAUGACUGCCCUAUGGGUUGUAAACUUCUUUUAUAUGGGAAUAAAAUGUUCCACGUGUGGGAUUUUGUAUGUACCAUAUGAAUAAUGAUCGGCUAACUCCGUGCCAGCAGCCGCGGUAAUACGGAGGAUCCGAGCGUUAUCCGGAUUCAUUGGGUUUAAAGGGAGCGUAGGUGGAUUGUUAAGUCAGUUGUGAAAGUUUGCGGCUCAACCGUAAAAUUGCAGUUGAAAUUGGAAGUCUUGAGUACAGUAGAGGUGGGCGGAAUUCGUGGUGUAGCGGUGAAAUGCGUAGAUAUCACGAAGAACUCCGAUUGCGAAGGCAGCUCACUGGACUGUAACUGACACUGAGGCUCGAAAGUGUGGGUAUCAAACAGGAUUAGAUACCCUGGUAGUC
This 460-nucleotide ribosomal RNA is filed under the name uncultured bacterium. RNAcentral describes it as "partial 16S ribosomal RNA". It matches the Rfam family "Bacterial small subunit ribosomal RNA", at positions 338 to 795 of the family's 1533-position model. The record is from RNAcentral.